RNAcentral lists this ribosomal RNA (498 nucleotides) under uncultured bacterium. RNAcentral describes it as "partial 16S ribosomal RNA". It matches the Rfam family "Bacterial small subunit ribosomal RNA", at positions 899 to 1397 of the family's 1533-position model. The record is from RNAcentral.
ACUCAAAUGAAUAGACGGGGGCCCGCACAAGCGGUGGAGCAUGUGGUUUAAUUCGACGCAACGCGAAGAACCUUACCUGGGCUCGAAAUGCAGUGGACCGGGGUAGAAAUAUUCCUUCCCCGCAAGGGGCCGCUGUAUAGGUGCUGCAUGGCUGUCGUCAGCUCGUGUCGUGAGAUGUUGGGUUAAGUCCCGCAACGAGCGCAACCCUUAUUACCAGUUGCCAUCAUUCGGUUGGGCACUCUGGUGAGACCGCCUCGGAUAACGGGGAGGAAGGCGGGGAUGACGUCAAGUCCUCAUGGCCUUUAUGUCCAGGGCUACACACGUGCUACAAUGGCUGAUACAAACCGUCGCAAACCCGCGAGGGGGAGCUAAUCGGAAAAAGUCGGCCUCAGUUCGGAUUGCAGUCUGCAACUCGACUGCAUGAAGCUGGAAUCGCUAGUAAUCGCGGAUCAGAACGCCGCGGUGAAUACGUUCCCGGGCCUUGUACACACCGCCCGU